GCCCUAAAAUACUUCAAAUCGACAAAAUAUGAAUACAGGAUAUCAUGAUUCAUAAAAGAAAGUAUUAUUCAAGAAAAAGCUCAUAGUAUUAAUAUAUAAAAUUAUAUACAUGUACAAGUUUUCUAUAAAGUUACAAGUAAUAGAUUACAUAAAAUCAUAUGAAUACACAAUGUCAACUUUUAAACUUAUAUACUAAUCAAGAACAAGGAUGUGUCCAUAGUACACGGAUGUCCCACUCGCACUAUUAUUUUUUUCUAUGUUCAGUGGACCGUAAAAUUAGGGUCAAAACUCUAAUUUGGCAUUAACAUUAGAAAGAUCAUGUCAUAGGUAACAUGUGUACUAAGUUUCAAGUUGAUUUGACUUCCAACUUCAUCAAAAACUACCUUGACCAAAAUCUUUAACCUGAAGCAGGACAGACGAAGGAACAGACGAACGAACGGACGUACAGACUAGAAAACAUGACCAUUAAACUGAAAUAUAUAGACAAAUACAAAAGUUGAGAUAUAUUGAUUUAUCU
This 517-nucleotide long non-coding RNA is filed under the name Mytilus galloprovincialis (Mediterranean mussel). Lineage: Eukaryota; Metazoa; Mollusca; Bivalvia; Mytilida; Mytilidae. The record is from RNAcentral.